Molecule: unclassified non-coding RNA, 659 nt
Filed under: Hevea brasiliensis (rubber tree)
Lineage: Eukaryota; Viridiplantae; Streptophyta; Magnoliopsida; Malpighiales; Euphorbiaceae
Source: RNAcentral
GUACUAAAUAGUAAUUUUGCAAAAGAAAAAAAAAUGCAUAUACGUUAUGCGGCGUCCUACUUUAAGAAACAAGUUAUGAAACUUUGCUCCUUCAGAGAACACAAGUUCACAAACUAAUAUGUAUAGACAAAAUGGCAUGGGCAUCUAGAUUCUAGAAACAACCCACAGCGUUAAACAAAUUCCGCCAAAGCUAAACAAACUGAUUAAAUCUUGAACUACCUACACGACAAGCACUGCCGAACUACUUACAAAGCCUUGGCUUCAAGGCAAGCCUAACAAGUUUGAUACCAUCAACAGAUGAACGCAAAUAAAUAAUCCAGAAAGUUUGAAGCACACUGGUAUUAUAAGACCGCUUGGCCCAGUAACACGUCGAACCCAUACUCCACUAGUCCAGACUUCAGAUACAUGCACCCUUAGCCUAUCUAUUAUCCAAGUAUGGGCCCUAUAGAGACACAUCAAAGGGUUGUUUUAAGUGCCCACAUGGGUCAAGGUCAAAGUAGGUAUCCCACUCUUACGGGCCGAAACGGGACAACCGAGAGAACGUAUGAAAAACAUUAUAAACAAAAACAAGCCCCGAUCAACGAAAACAACCAAAGAUCAAAAUCUGCACACAGGUCAAUCAAACAUGAAAUUAAGAAACUGAGACGAAAAAAAAAAAA